This 492-nucleotide ribosomal RNA is filed under the name uncultured bacterium. RNAcentral describes it as "partial 16S ribosomal RNA". It matches the Rfam family "Bacterial small subunit ribosomal RNA", at positions 29 to 507 of the family's 1533-position model. The record is from RNAcentral.
AGUGAACGCUGGCGGUAGGCCUAACACAUGCAAGUCGAACGGCAGCACAGUAAGAGCUUGCUCUUACGGGUGGCGAGUGGCGGACGGGUGAGGAAUACAUCGGAAUCUACUUUUUCGUGGGGGAUAACGUAGGGAAACUUACGCUAAUACCGCAUACGACCUACGGGUGAAAGCAGGGGAUCUUCGGACCUUGCGCGAUUGAAUGAGCCGAUGUCGGAUUAGCUAGUUGGCGGGGUAAAGGCCCACCAAGGCGACGAUCCGUAGCUGGUCUGAGAGGAUGAUCAGCCACACUGGAACUGAGACACGGUCCAGACUCCUACGGGAGGCAGCAGUGAGGUAUAUUGGACAAUGGGCGCAAGCCUGAUCCAGCCAUACCGCGUGGGUGAAGAAGGCCUUCGGGUUGUAAAGCCCUUUUGUUGGGAAAGAAAAGCAGCAGGUUAAUACCCCGCUGUUCUGACGGUACCCAAAGAAUAAGCACCGGCUAACUUCGUG